This is a long non-coding RNA of Girardinichthys multiradiatus, 829 nucleotides long. RefSeq lists it as uncharacterized. The record is from RefSeq and is a predicted model, not a curated record. Lineage: Eukaryota; Metazoa; Chordata; Actinopteri; Cyprinodontiformes; Goodeidae. The transcript has 5 exons.
GGAACAGCAGAUAUGCAGGUUGCAAAUGUCAGUUUAAUUCAGGAGCUGCUAUAUUUAUAGUCAAAUUAAUGACACGGAGGAUAGUGAUGACAAUAGUAAUAAUCGGAUGAACUCCGCCUCUUGUCCUCUGGGGUUCGACACAGGGCCUCGUCCGUCAUGUCAAAGUCAGCAUGUCUUGAUCGAACAGGGUGGUCCCCAUCCCUCCUCCUCUGCUUGUUAUGUCGAUGAUUGGAUGGCCAGUCUCUUAAACCCCCAUGAGGACUUAGGCCAUUACUGCCCCUGUCCUGACCCCUGCAUGGUGCCACUGGGGGACUGUGGGCAGAGCUGCAUGAUGUAAAACUGGGACUGUGGGAAUGAGGACUCAGAGAGCGGCUGAUGGGGCUGCGAGAGCGUGCUCUGUCUGGAAGGUUCUUGCAUCUUAUCCCUGUCCCGCUGUGAGGUAAUAUCCUGGAUGAUUGAUUGAACAUCUUUACCUGGUUUCUGCAAAGUAAAAAUAUUCGUGCUUGUCCACAGACUGUGGACAGCUCCACGCUGCGCUCCGGUUCGGUCUGUCUGCAAGUUAGCCGGGGAUAAUUUUGGGCUCGUUUCACCUCACUUAUCAUCUGCUGCGUGCUUUUCAAGACAUCUGCCUGCAUGAUGAACAUCUAUCAACAGCUGCCAUUUCCCAGUCCUGGUCCAAACAAAACAGUUUUAGAGAAGAGGCCAAGUGACUGUGAGACUGUGGUUCAAAAUCAAAAACGUGUCUACAGCUCUGCUCCCGAGAAUAAAUAUGAAGGCUCAGAAAAUGUUGGGGUUUACAUUCAUGUUUGCUGAUCUUUUCGUCAUUCAG